AAUGGCGUAAUCUCAGCUCACUGCCAUCUCCGUCUCCCGGGUUCAAGUGAUUCUCCUGCCUCAGCCUCCCGAGGAGCUGGGAUUAUAGGCACCUGCUACCACACCCGGUUAAUUUUUAUAUAUAUAUUUUAAGUAGAGAUGGGGUUUCACCAUGUUGGCCAGGCUGGUCUCGAACCGGCCUCCCGAAGUGCUAGGAUUACAGGCAUGAGCCACCGCGCCCAGCCGCCACUGUGCAAUCUUAACCUUUUCAGUGGUCUUCCAUGUACUCCAGUGCUGCCCUGGGCAUCCCCCUGUCCACCCUGAGGCGGUCUGAUGGCAAGUGACCCCAGGUCCCCAGCCCCUUAGC
RNAcentral lists this long non-coding RNA (346 nucleotides) under Homo sapiens (human). Its description in RNAcentral is "non-protein coding lnc-SDF2L1-2:1". The record is from RNAcentral. Lineage: Eukaryota; Metazoa; Chordata; Mammalia; Primates; Hominidae.